Molecule: long non-coding RNA, 430 nt
Organism: Neltuma alba
Lineage: Eukaryota; Viridiplantae; Streptophyta; Magnoliopsida; Fabales; Fabaceae
Exons: 2
Source: RefSeq, a predicted model, not a curated record
CGACGCUGACAGAAAAGAGGGAGAGCUGAGAGAGUUGGAAGGAGAGGAAGAAGAACAAAGAAGGCGAAGAGGUUGAGUGGGAGCCGAUUACUUACAUGCGAGGUUGGAUUUGGAUCAAGCAAAAGAAAGUGGCUUUAAAGGCAAGAGUGUGGUGAUUGUGGGAAAUUGAGAAGGUUGGAUGGCGAACUGAUUGGUACGGCUGGUCAUCAAUUUAUGCUUUGUAGUUUGAACUUAUAAUUUUUGAUUAGCCAAAAAUGGCUACCACUCAAUGCAUAUAAAUAUGUAGAUAUGUAAUUAUAUGAAUCUAUGGAAUGUAAAUUCCUCUAUAAAGAGGAAGUUAUGGUUCUUGAAAUUGACAAAUGAGUGCCAUCUGCUUUGAUGGCCAGGUGGGGGAAGAUUAGUAGUGUUAUCAACUUACUAUACUAUCAAA